Molecule: ribosomal RNA, 253 nt
Filed under: uncultured bacterium
Lineage: Bacteria
Description: partial 16S ribosomal RNA
Rfam family: Bacterial small subunit ribosomal RNA
Source: RNAcentral
UACGUAGGUGGCAAGCGUUGUCCGGAUUUACUGGGUGUAAAGGGCGUGUAGCCGGGCUUACAAGUCAGAUGUGAAAUCCGGGGGCUCAACCCCCGAACUGCAUUUGAAACUGUAGGUCUUGAGUAUCGGAGAGGCAGGCGGAAUUCCUAGUGUAGCGGUGAAAUGCGUAGAUAUUAGGAGGAACACCAGUGGCGAAGGCGGCCUGCUGGACGGUGACUGACGCUGAGGCUCGAAAGCGUGGGGAGCAAACAGG